AGUGAACGCUGGCGGUAGGCCUAACACAUGCAAGUCGAACGGCAGCACAGUAAGAGCUUGCUCUUACGGGUGGCGAGUGGCGGACGGGUGAGGAAUACAUCGGAAUCUACUUUUUCGUGGGGGAUAACGUAGGGAAACUUACGCUAAUACCGCAUACGACCUACGGGUGAAAGCAGGGGAUAUUCGGACCUUGCGCGAUUGAAUGAGCCGAUGUCGGAUUAGCUAGUUGGCGGGGUAAAGGCCCACCAAGGCGACGAUCCGUAGCUGGUCUGAGAGGAUGAUCAGCCACACUGGAACUGAGACACGGUCCAGACUCCUACGGGAGGCAGCAGUGGGGAAUAUUGGACAAUGGGCGCAAGCCUGAUCCAGCCAUACCGCGUGGGUGAAGAAGGCCUGCGGGUUGUAAAGCCCUUUUGUUGGGAAAGAAAAGCAGCAGGUUAAUACCCCGCUGUUCUGACGGUACCCAAAGAAUAAGCACCGGCUAACUUCGU
Molecule: ribosomal RNA, 491 nt
Filed under: uncultured bacterium
Lineage: Bacteria
Description: partial 16S ribosomal RNA
Rfam family: Bacterial small subunit ribosomal RNA
Source: RNAcentral